This is a long non-coding RNA of Antechinus flavipes (yellow-footed antechinus), 835 nucleotides long. RefSeq lists it as uncharacterized. The record is from RefSeq and is a predicted model, not a curated record. NCBI's taxonomy places the organism in Eukaryota, Metazoa, Chordata, Mammalia, Dasyuromorphia, Dasyuridae. The transcript has 4 exons.
UCGUUGGCCGCCUCGCGGGAGCGCGGGAAACCGGGCGUGGUGGGGCGGGGCUGGCCCGCGAGGCUGUGGACCUCCUGACUAUGGGUUGGCCGGGGGACGGUGGUCACCGAACCCGGGCGCUUGGCGUCGCGGGAAGGCCAGAAAUAUUAUCCACAUUAUCUCCGUGAAGUCCUACAAGACGCCUUUCCUCUUCACCCCGCAGGGCUUCCAUUGGCCUGGCCCUUUUCCUGGAGGUGACUUUCGUUUCUUUGACCUUUUUGGAGCGUAGACCUAAGUACCAGUAUUAUUGCUGCAAAGGUUGUGCACGUUUUCAUAACUGGGGGGGUGGCAUCCUUCCAAAUGCUUUCCAGAGCGGUUGGACGGCCAGCUCCCAGCUCCACAAGCAGUGCAUUAAGGUAAAUGGUGGGAAUGGAUCCCAGAAUGUGCCCGUGACAGUCUUGCCCUUGCCCUUGUACCCUCGGAGGUGGGAGACAGGAUGAGGCCUGAGAAGCUGAGCCAAAGUCCCAGAUCUGGUGGCUAUAUGUCAGCGAGGAAGGAGGAAAAGAGAAAAAGCAUUAGAGGAUCAGAAAGAUCCCCGAAAUAUGGACAUUAUCAAUCUUCUUGAGGAACUCAUUGCCUUUUAAAAGAGACAAGCCAGAAAGCAGCUUAAAAGUAAGCAAGAAGCAACAGAGCAAGAGUGGAUGCUGGGAGUUUAGAGUUCAUCCAGAGAGGCUUCCUGAAAGAGGUGAGUCUCCUUGAUUUUUGAAGGAAUCAAAGGACAUUGAUGGAUGUCACAGGGGCACAGAUGUGCCGGGACAGCCCGGCACCAUGCACAACACACCCCUUGCAAGUUCCA